Molecule: ribosomal RNA, 252 nt
Filed under: uncultured bacterium
Lineage: Bacteria
Description: partial 16S ribosomal RNA
Rfam family: Bacterial small subunit ribosomal RNA
Source: RNAcentral
GACAGAGGGUGCAAACGUUGUUCGGAAUUACUGGGCGUAAAGCGCGUGUAGGCUGCUUGGAAAGUCGGAUGUGAAAGCCCUGGGCUCAACCUAGGAAGUGCAUUCGAAACUUCCAGCUGGAGUGCUGGAGAGGAAGGCGGAAUUCUCGGUGUAGAGGUGAAAUUCGUAGAUAUCGAGAGGAACACCUGCGGCGAAGGCGGGUUGCUGGGCUGACACUGACGCUGAGGCGCGAAAGCUAGGGGAGCGAACGGG